UAAAAAAAAUACUUAAUUUGAUGUAAUAAUAUUAAUAAUAAUAAUAAAAUAUAAAAAAGAAAGAAAAUCAAUUUGCAUUUAUGACAAGUUAAUAUAAUUUACAUUCAAUUUUUAUUUAGAGUAAAUAAAAUACAAUAGUGCAUAUAUGAUAGCUUAAUAUGAUCUACAAUCAAUAUUUGUUUAGUCAAAAGCAGAUAGUAAAAAAUAUUUCAGGGUGUGUUUCGUUUCCCUCUAUGGGGACAUUUUUACGCUAACACCCUGAUUCAUUAGUUUAAAGUUUUAUUAGUGGUGUAGGACGGGUGACACUACCCUCUAGGGGUGUAUUCAGUAUUCUAUCCGAGGAUUAUAUUUGUUAGGCACAAUCUUCAACCCUCGGGCAGAUUGCACUCUGCGCGUGUAUGGAGCUAGCGUGCAGAUUGCCAACUUUGCACUGAUUACCCCUUGAUGUUUUUAGAGAUGUUGUAGUGUGUCAUAACGCAACUAUAUAUUAUAUUAUAUAUGACCUGCCUCCUAUGGUCUUUGUAGUGAGAAAUAAUUUACAAAAUCACUGCAUAAUUAGCGUGUGUGCUUAGAAAAUAAGAUUUUUAAUUCUAGUCAGCAGUAUCUCAUAAUCGGUGCUGACCACUGUGACUGAAUGUCAAAAAUAUUUGCUGUAGUGUAAUAGUUUGACCGAUCGUAGUUACUUUAGUAACAAAGUCUUAGAGACCCCUAUCCUAUAUGAAGAGAGAGCACUGGGGUUCUCUAAGACUUUGUUACUAAAGUAACUAGACCGAUCGCAGCUGUCAAUCAAAAUAAUAAAUCAACCAAUCAGAUCUAUAUGGUCUGACGUAAAUAAAGGUAUUUUCAGCAGACGUCAACCACCAACCUGUCAUAACUCAUCAUAAUGGUAAAGAGAUGUGCUUGGCGUACGUGUAAUUCGGACAGUCCGGAGAGACUGACGGAGGGUAACCUUUAUUCCUUUCCCAAAGCUUGGAAGAACACGUGAUACCAGACGAUGGAUAGGUUGAUGCAGACGACCAGUUAAACGAAGAGAUAGGUUUAGUAAUGGGUGAGCAGAGAAAAGCAAACAUCUUUUUGUGUGGACUAACUUACUAAGGUUAUUAUAUUGACUUUUUUGCCUACUCUUUUUUUCUAACAAAAUACACUCAACCAUUUUCAUCAUUAUUUUUCUUAUGUACCGGUAGGCCUUAUCUUAUAGGCUAAUAAAUGUGUCUGUUUUUACAAUGUGACAUUGAAAUGUCAGUAUUUCCUCUCAGACAUUUUAUAAAUUGAUUUAUUCAUUCGGUUAUUGCACCAGGGCAGAAGUGACAGUCAGUAGAAACAAUCUUUUUCAUAAAAUAAUUAAAAUAGUUGAUCUUCUUUGACUGUAACUCAUAUAUAGGACUAUACUACAGAACAGGUCUGCAGGCAUGGGCGCAGGACCCGACAAGGACAACUGUCUAGUCGUUUGGAUAGAAUGAAAAGAUCGAGGUCCUGUGUACACAAUGGUGUGCACGUAAAAGAUCCCUUGACAGUUGGAAAUCGAUAUAAGAGUAGGCCAUAGUGCCACUGUCCGGGCAUAGCACACUGUAUGGCAUAUACCCGUCUUCAUUAGCCCAGUUCAGAGCAGAACAGUAGGACGUUAAACCCCAUUUCAUUUCAUUUCGGGCAUGGGCCUUAAUUUCAAGUUUGAUUAAGACGUUAACAAAAAAAAAAAGAGAAGGCAGACAAAGCAAAUCAAGUUGCCAAUUAAAAACUAGCUAGUAAUUAUCUACGAGAAUGGAAUGGUCAUGUAAAUUUACUUAUAUUAUGUAUCAUAAUAAUAAUAUUCUUAUUAUUUUUUUCAUUUUUCAGCCAGAUCCCAUCGCUGCACUGCAUUAUGAUCAUAUUUAUUAACAAGACCACCACCAGUUCAAGUAUUUUUUUUGAGAAACCUGCAGUAGUUGAAUCAAAGGUUUUAAGAUAAACCGACUUGGACGAUUAGGUGGCAGAGAUGUCCUGUCCAUCGUUAACAACAUCAUGAAGAAUCUCAGUGUCACUUAUGUACAAUGCCGUUACAAUUGGACAGGAUAAAAAGGCAAGCAUGAAUUAGGGGCACAGGCUACAGCUACCAUUGUUUUUAAUCCAGUCAGAAGAAAUCCAAUGUUUUGAAACACCACAAACAAGGAAAUCAAAGCUGCAGUUAGUCGUUUGAACUGGUUUCCAGACAAAUUCAAGGGACGGGAUGGUGGGAGAUCUCAACGAAUUUCAACCGACCUAAUUGAGAAAGCAUAAAAAUAAAACAUGAAACCAAAUAUAAAUAGUUUUGUACUUAUUUGGUACAAGAUCCCAUAUUACAUUUAUUUGUACCCCGGGGGGGUUGGAUGGCUGAAUGGUUAGCGUGCGCGCGCUGUAUUAUAAAGCCUGUCAUUGAGUCGACUGGCGUGGUUUCGAAUCCCCUGUUGUACGUGACAAGGAGUAGGGUUGCCUGUCCAACCUCGUGGGUUUUCUCCGGGUCCUCCUGUUUCCUCCCACUGCAAGCGAAUUAUUGAAAUAAAAUAAAACCAUAUGUUAGUCCCGAAAUGACCUAGUUUGUGUCGAGUGGACGUUAAACCCCAUUUCUCUCUCUCUCUUUAUUUGUACCCCACAUGAGUCCCAUAUAGUAACCAUAUGGCAUUUCUUAACAUGGCCAUAUGGGUCCCAUGCAAGCCCCAUAUUACAUUUAUUUGCACCCCACAUGAGUCCAAUAUAGUACCUAUAUUACAUUUCUAAACAAUGCUGUAC
Molecule: long non-coding RNA, 2742 nt
Organism: Patella vulgata (common limpet)
Lineage: Eukaryota; Metazoa; Mollusca; Gastropoda; Patellidae
Exons: 3
Source: RefSeq, a predicted model, not a curated record